This 305-nucleotide ribosomal RNA is filed under the name uncultured bacterium. RNAcentral describes it as "bacterial SSU rRNA". It matches the Rfam family "Bacterial small subunit ribosomal RNA", at positions 333 to 652 of the family's 1533-position model. The record is from RNAcentral.
GAGCGCCUACGGGAGGCAGCAGUAGGGAAUCUUCCACAAUGGGCGCAAGCCUGACCCAGCAACGCCGCGUGAAGGAAGAAGGCUUUCGGGUUGUAAACUUCUUUUCUCAGGGACGAAGAAAGUGACGGUACCUGAGGAAUAAGCCACGGCUAACUACGUGCCAGCAGCCGCGGUAAUACGUAGGUGGCAAGCGUUAUCCGGAUUUACUGGGUGUAAAGGGCGUGUAGGCGGGAAAGCAAGUCAGAUGUGAAAACCAUGGGCUCAACCUGUGGCCUGCAUUUGAAACUGUUUUUCUUGAGUACUGG